GGCAAACGGGUGCGGAACACGUACGCAACCUUCCCAAAACAGGUGAAUAGCCCUCCGAAAGGAGGAUUAAUACACCGUACCAUAAUGAGGUGGCAUCACUUUAUUAUUAUAGGUCGCAAGAUCGGUUUUGGAUGGGCGUGCGCCUGAUUAGGUAGUUGGCGGGGUAACGGCCCACCAAGCCUCCGAUCAGUAACUGGUGUGAGAGCACGACCAGUCACACGGGCACUGAGACACGGGCCCGACUCCUACGGGAGGCAGCAGUAAGGAAUAUUGGUCAAUGGACGGAAGUCUGAACCAGCCAUGCCGCGUGCAGGAUGAAGGCCCUCUGGGUUGUAAACUGCUUUUAUCUGGGACGAAAAAAGGGCUUUAUAGCUCACUUGACGGUACCAGAGGAAUAAGCACCGGCUAACUCCGUGCCAGCAGCCGCGGUAAUACGGAGGGUGCAAGCGUUAUCCGGAUUUACUGGGUUUAAAGGGUGC
Molecule: ribosomal RNA, 479 nt
Filed under: uncultured bacterium
Lineage: Bacteria
Description: bacterial SSU rRNA
Rfam family: Bacterial small subunit ribosomal RNA
Source: RNAcentral